UGGGGAAUAUUGCACAAUGGGCGAAAGCCUGAUGCAGCAACGCCGCGUGAGUGAUGAAGGUCUUCGGAUUGUAAAGCUCUGUCUUUUGGGACGAUAAUGACGGUACCAAAGGAGGAAGCCACGGCUAACUACGUGCCAGCAGCCGCGGUAAUACGUAGGUGGCGAGCGUUGUCCGGAUUUACUGGGCGUAAAGGGUGCGUAGGCGGAUGUUUAAGUGAGAUGUGAAAUACCCGGGCUUAACUUGGGUGCUGCAUUUCAAACUGGAUAUCUAGAGUGCAGGAGAGGAGAAUGGAAUUCCUAGUGUAGCGGUGAAAUGCGUAGAGAUUAGGAAGAACACCAGUGGCGAAGGCGAUUCUCUGGACUGUAACUGACGCUGAGGCACGAAAGCGUGGGUAGCAAACAGGAUUAGAUACCCUGGUAGUCCACGCCGUAAACGAUGAGUACUAGGUGUAGGAGGUAUUGACCCCUUCUGUGCCGCAGUAAACACAUUAAGUACUCCGCCUGGGAAGUACGAUCGCAAGAUUAAAACUCAAAGUGAA
RNAcentral lists this ribosomal RNA (539 nucleotides) under uncultured bacterium. RNAcentral's name for it is "partial 16S ribosomal RNA". It matches the Rfam family "Bacterial small subunit ribosomal RNA", at positions 355 to 910 of the family's 1533-position model. The record is from RNAcentral.